RNAcentral lists this ribosomal RNA (475 nucleotides) under uncultured Thiobacillus sp. RNAcentral's name for it is "bacterial SSU rRNA". It matches the Rfam family "Bacterial small subunit ribosomal RNA", at positions 76 to 539 of the family's 1533-position model. The record is from RNAcentral. Lineage: Bacteria; Pseudomonadati; Pseudomonadota; Betaproteobacteria; Nitrosomonadales; Thiobacillaceae.
GGCUUCGGCCUGAUGGCGAGUGGCGAACGGGUGAGUAAUGCAUCGGAACGUACCCAGUCGUGGGGGAUACCGUAGCGAAAGUUACGCUAAUACCGCAUACGACCUGAGGGAGAAAGCGGGGGACCGAAAGGCCUCGCGCGAUUGGAGCGGCCGAUGUCAGAUUAGCUANUUGGUGGGGUAAAUGCCCACCAAGGCGACGAUCUGUAGCGGGUCUGAGAGGAUGAUCCGGCACACUGGGACUGAGACACGGCCCAUACUCCUACGGGAGGGAGCAGUGGGGAAUUUUGGACAAUGGGGGCAACCCUGAUCCAGCCAUGCCGCGUGCGGGAAAAAGGCCUUCGGGUUGUAAACCGCUUUCGGACAGAAAGAAAUCGCACGGGAUAAUACCUUGUGUGGAUGACGGUACUGUAAGAAGAAGCACCGGCUAACUACGUGCCAGCAGCCGCGGUAAUCCGUGCCACCAGCCGCGGUAAUA